GCCUAAAGCGUCCGUAGCCUGCUUUGUAAGUUUCCGGUUAAAUCCAUUAGCUCAACUAAUGGGCCGCCGGAAAAACUGCAAAGCUAGGGAGUGGGAGAGGUAGACGGUACUCGGUAGGAAGGGGUAAAAUCCUUUGAUCUAUCGAUGACCACCUGUGGCGAAGGCGGUCUACCAGAACACGUUCGACGGUGAGGGAUGAAAGCUGGGGGAGCAAACCGGAUUAGAUACCCGGGUAGUCCCAGCUGUAAACGAUGCAGACUCGGUGAUGCGCUGGCUUGUGGCCAGUGCAGUGCCGCAGGGAAGCCGUUAAGUUUGCCGCCUGGGAAGUACGUACGCAAGUAUGAAACUUAAAGGAAUUGGCGGGGGAGCACCACAAGGGGUGAAGCCUGCGGUUCAAUUGGAGUCAACGCCAGAAAUCUUACCCGAGGAGACAGCAGAAUGAAGGUCAAGCUGGAGACUUUACCAGACAAGCUGAGAAGUGGUGCAUGGCCGUCGCCAGCUCGUGCCGUGAGAUGUCCUGUUAAGUCAGGUAACGAGCGAGAUCCCUGCCUCUAGUUGCCACCAUUACUCUCAGGAGUAGUGGGGCGAAUUAGCGGGACCGCCACAGUUAAUGUGGAGGAAGGAAGGGGCCACGGCAGGUCAGUAUGCCCCGAA
This 654-nucleotide ribosomal RNA is filed under the name uncultured archaeon. RNAcentral's name for it is "bacterial SSU rRNA". It matches the Rfam family "Archaeal small subunit ribosomal RNA", at positions 508 to 1160 of the family's 1478-position model. The record is from RNAcentral.